CGAAGUAUAGCAUAUAUAAUGCUUUUUACUUACACUAAAAAUAAAGUUUACACUUACUUCGC
Molecule: transfer RNA, 62 nt
Filed under: Amynthas sp. 2 LZ-2016
Lineage: Eukaryota; Metazoa; Annelida; Clitellata; Crassiclitellata; Megascolecidae
Description: tRNA-Val
Source: RNAcentral